ACCCCCUGGCUCCGAGCUGAGUGGCCAGGGAAGGACGUCAGGGCUCACCCUGAGGCUUAAGAGUUCAGCUCUUGCUCGGUUCAUGGUCACCUUCCCAGCACACGACUGUCAGAAUUCUUGGUGAGUCACCAUCCACCCAGACUCCCUGACCUUCUCCUCUCCCAACAUCCUGUCCUUCACCUGAUCUCAGCCACCUGCCCCCAGGUUCCCCGUCCUUUCCCUGUCUUUCCAGCUCACUCCCUCCAGCGUCCCAAGCCCAACAGUCCUUCCUGUCACGAGACCCAACCCUCUGACCCAACCGCCCUGGCCCUCAGACAUUCCCUCAUCCCUUUGACAUCUCUCCCUCCUUCACAGCUAAUGAUCAAGCAUGUGAUCCCCCCAGCCCCUCCCUCCUACUGUCCCAGUCUUUUGGCAAAAUUAAGAGGCUGGGUAAAGGCGGCCACCUGUGCCCUGGGCUGCACCUGAGCAGGUGAAAGUGGACAAAGCCCUGAUGGCCUUGCUCAGAGUCCUGUCCUCUGGCCUCCAGGCUCCAGACCCUGCUGGAGGAUCAGACUCCAGUCCUCUCCCUCCAGGACCUGCUCCUCACUCCUCCUUGUCCCCUGCACCUCCUGCAACGACCAGCACGACCGCCACACCUUGCACUCAUGGUGUCUUCCCACCACCUCCAGGGGCCUUGCUGUGAGUCGGGAAAAGCACCCGGGGCAACCAUAGGCCCCUGGCAGACUCAGCCCAGCAGCUGGGGGGGCUGGGGGGGAAUUAUAUGCUUGAUCACUAACUGUGAAGGCUGCAAUGUCAGCCCCUACUGCUCAGAAGUCCCCUUCCCGCCCUUUAGCACUGCCCCCUGCCUUACUGAAUCAUUUCACAUGUAGGUGGUUAACUUCUAUAUUAAAAAAAAAAACAAAAACAAAAAAAC
Molecule: long non-coding RNA, 913 nt
Filed under: Marmota monax (woodchuck)
Lineage: Eukaryota; Metazoa; Chordata; Mammalia; Rodentia; Sciuridae
Source: RNAcentral